Prunus avium (sweet cherry) is the source of this 855-nucleotide long non-coding RNA. RefSeq lists it as uncharacterized. The record is from RefSeq and is a predicted model, not a curated record. NCBI's taxonomy places the organism in Eukaryota, Viridiplantae, Streptophyta, Magnoliopsida, Rosales, Rosaceae.
UCCUCUUUAAACACAUCCACACCGUUUCAUUAAAAAACAAUUGAAAAUGCACUGUUUGAUUUUACAACACAAAGCCAAAACAGGUUGUUUUAUUAAUGAAAAAGAAUCACAACAAUAAUGCACACGACACCGUUUGUGUCAAAUUAUUUGAAAAAAGAAGGUCGUCUUCUUCGCCUCGCACACCGCUUCAAUUAGACACUUCCUCAAUACUUGAAAUUUGCAAAACAAUGAUAGGCUCAGGCAAAACACCUCUGCCUCUCCCCAAAGUGAGCCUGCACGCGAGCUAACAAGCAGAAACAAAACAGAAGACAAUUCUCUCGAGCAAAACAAGAACGUCUUUCGGGCAUUUACUCGAGCAGUUGGUGGGCACCAGAGCAGAGGGGCAAAUCUGAUACCUCCAAGGCUUUUCUGGGCGAAGGGAGGUGCAGCUGCACCUCCUUGCGCCUCUGUGGGUCCGCCACUGCCUGCAGGACAAGCUGAAAGAAGUGGAGUGUUUCUAUCAUUCAAUAAUGUCUGAAAACGGUCUAAUGCUUCUUUCUGCGUUUGAUUGUGGCCAAAGAUAACCAAGGCCUGCAAGAUUUCUGCUCUCAGAAGUGCACUGAAAUGAUCCUCUCCAGGUAUUGAUUCCCAACCCAGUUUUCUGCAUGAAAAAAUUCAGAUAUGACAUCUAAGUAUGGUAGCAUCAAAGUUUUGUUUGGUGAUCCUAAAUGAAGUAUCAGCCACAUAAACCGGAACAUUACUGCAAGCAUGACCUCAAAGAGGCUGGAAUACAUCAUAAGGACAAACACUGUUCAUUUUAGCAUGUAUAUAACCCGAUAAGCUUAACAAAGAAGGUAUUGCCAUAUUAAAACUGUA